Molecule: ribosomal RNA, 511 nt
Filed under: uncultured bacterium
Lineage: Bacteria
Description: partial 16S ribosomal RNA
Rfam family: Bacterial small subunit ribosomal RNA
Source: RNAcentral
GACAAACGCUGGCGGUAUGCCUAACACAUGCAAGUCGAACGGACAGAACAGGGAAGCUUUUCGGAGUGGAACUGGAAAGUUAGUGGCGGAUGGGUGAGUAACGCGUGGACAACCUACCUUGUAAAGGGGAAUAACCUCGAGAAAUCGAAGCUAAUACCCCAUAAUAACCUUGCUUCGCAUGAAGUAAGGAGGACAGGCGGCCUUAGCGCUGUCGAUACCAGAUGGGUCCGCGUCUGAUUAGCUAGUUGGUGAGGUAAGGGCUCACCAAGGCGACGAUCAGUAGCCGGCCUGAGAGGGUGAACGGCCACAUUGGGACUGAGACACGGCCCAAACUCCUACGGGAGGCAGCAGUGGGGAAUCUUCCGCAAUGGGCGAAAGCCUGACGGAGCAAUGCCGCGUGAGUGAAGAAGGCCUUCGGGUUGUAAAACUCUGUCCUUAUCGAAGAGAGAGUGUUGUAGUAACUGACAAUACUAGGACGGUAGAUGAGGAGGAAGCCCCGGCUAACUAUGUG